UGGGGAAUUUUGCGCAAUGGGGGAAACCCUGACGCAGCAACGCCGCGUGCGGGACGAAGGCCCUCGGGUUGUAAACCGCUUUCAGCAGGGAAGAUCCAAGACGGUACCUGCAGAAGAAGCUCCGGCUAACUACGUGCC
Molecule: ribosomal RNA, 138 nt
Filed under: uncultured bacterium
Lineage: Bacteria
Description: partial 16S ribosomal RNA
Rfam family: Bacterial small subunit ribosomal RNA
Source: RNAcentral